Oncorhynchus tshawytscha (Chinook salmon) is the source of this 1621-nucleotide long non-coding RNA. RefSeq lists it as uncharacterized. The transcript is spliced from 3 exons. NCBI's taxonomy places the organism in Eukaryota, Metazoa, Chordata, Actinopteri, Salmoniformes, Salmonidae. The record is from RefSeq and is a predicted model, not a curated record.
UCUUUUAUUUUAGCUCAUGAAACAUGGGACCAACAACUUUACAUGUUGCAUUUAUAUUUCUGUUCUGUGUAUGCUGGAAAACAUUUCAAUAACUUUUCAGGGCCCUCAAUUCUGCUUUCCAGCUCUUUCCUUGUAACUUCAUUCUUUAUGGUGGGACGUUUGCCCAGGUUGAAGUUGAGGAUCGACGGCACCUCACAGACCACUAAAAGGACAAGUCAAUUAAGAACAAAUUCUUAUUUACAAUGACGUCCUAGAAACAGUGGGUUAAGUGCCUUGUUCAGAACGACACAUUUUUACCUUGUCAGCUGGCAAGCUUUUGGUUACUGGCCCAAUGCUCCAACACCUAGGCUAUCAUCCUCCAACAGUAACUAAACUUUGCAGCUUACCACAUACUACCUGUGGUCUGAAAGAAGCAUUUUGAAGCUGAGCUCUGUUUAUCACCAGGGGAAUGGAGCCAGCGGACAUUUUGGACCCUUUUGUCCAGGCCACCGCCCUUAUUCAGGGGGAGAAAGUGGUGGCUCAGUGCUGCCCUUCCUUGUGUACUGUCACUCUACCAUCUGCAAAGUAUACUGAGCACAAGUCGUCACCUAGUCAGUCUAGUAAAAGCACUGCAGCAGUCACUCAAACGCCGAUUCCAGGGGUUGUUUGUGAAUGUCAGAAUGGAGCACUUGGAUGAACAGGCAACAAAACUUCCAUUUGGUGACCAUGUAUACAUAAUGGCUGCACUGCUGGACCUUUCAAUUCCGCCUGUACUGGCUUGAUCAUGAUGCCUUCCUCAUACCAUAUGAAGAUCAAGCUGAAUUGAAGGAGUGUGAUUGGUAGGGACAAUGCAUCACCGUUACAGAGAGCAGUAGCCAAAGAACAGCCACCACCACCUGCCAAAAAGGAAGUCUUCAAAUAAUUUACACGGUUUAUAGACCUAACCAACAGCAGGCAGAAAGCCAUUGCCAAAAGGGACUUGAAACUUGACUUAGACUUGGCCCUAAAAGACUUGACUUGGACUCUACCUCAAAGACUUGUGAACAUCUCUGCUAGUUAUUUCAACAUGUUUAGACCUACUGGAAUAUUAAGUGCAAGAUUUAGGCCUAUGGCUCAUAGACACAACUAGAUCUGUUAUUAGGGUGAGUGAGGGUAGUUGUUUGACUACUAGUCUAUCAUUGCACAGCUGUCUCUUGUAGAAAUGUUGACCGCUUCUCAGGGGACUUUGUUGCCGAACCGAUGAGUGAUAAACUGCACUGACUCACUGUCGGGAAUUGGAGAAGUCUUCUGAAAGAUACUGGAGGAGCAAGGUUUUGACAAAAAAUGGGCAGCUCUCUGAAGUUCGCAUUGAGUUUGCCUUGGCAAAUGGGGACUUUUAGGCCCCAUUGUAAAAGGGCCUUUGUGGUCCUGGGUCAGUUCCUGCUGCUGCGGAAGGACGGGGAGCUGUUCGCGGAGUGGUUGAAGGUCACUAGCGGAGCCAACACCAGGAAUGCUGCAUCCUGCUCCCAGUGCCUGAACGAGUGGUGUGAUGUAUUCCUAUGAGACUGGGGAUAUGCUGCUCCCCAAUGUCAUGUUGAAGAUCAAUUCUGUUUUAUAGUGAAAAUAUGUCAGUGGUAUAGGCUAUGGCUUGUCUGAGCAGAAU